Molecule: RNA transcript, 4599 nt
Organism: Carcharodon carcharias (great white shark)
Lineage: Eukaryota; Metazoa; Chordata; Chondrichthyes; Lamniformes; Lamnidae
Gene name: NACHT, LRR and PYD domains-containing protein 12-like
Exons: 15
Source: RefSeq, a predicted model, not a curated record
UUGCGUUGGCAGGAGAACCAGCAUUAUGAGCAGCCAAAACAAAAACAGAAUUACCUGGAAAAACUCAGCAGGUCUGGCAGCAUCGGCGGAGAAGAAAAGAGUUGACGUUUCGAGUCCUCAUGACCCUUCAGGCCGGCGCUAGCGCAGGCGCAUUAUCAGAACCUGUCCUGCCCUGCUCUGCUGCGCCGGCGCAGUGCUGCUAGUUUGUGGAUGCGGAAUGAGGGCGGCGCGAGCUGGGGGUGUUCAUCACACUGCAGAAACCACUACACUAAUUCAUCAAGACUCUCUAGAGCCACAGCACAAGAGCAUCAGAAUCCGGGAAUGCUUGUCAGCACUAUGGCUGAAGAUCCAAACAGAGUAGAGGAUCCAACAUCUUCAGGAAUAAGAAUAGACACAGAUCAAAACUUUACAAAUACUGAGUUCUUGACAAAAUGCAAUGAAUACCAGCUGUUCCAGUUGACGAAAUUAUGCCGGGACAGACUAGAACAGGGGAUUGAAGAAGGAGUGGACAAAGUCAGCUUGUUGUUAACAAAUGAGAAGCAUUUCAGUGAUCAAGAACAUCAGAAAGUCACUGAGCUUGCGGAGAAGGGAAACCGGGCAGACAGUUCCAAACUUCUCCUAAAUCUGGUGAUGAGGAAAGGCUCUCAGACCCAAAGAGUGAUGUGGGAAUCCUUUGUGAAAAUGCGCUAUGAAUUACCAAAGUUGGAUAAAAUACUGAAAGAAAUACAGGAACUUGGUACAGUAAAAUCACACGGUUCUGAAUCAUUUGAUUUUGUCAACAUUGUCCGAGGUUUACCCGAAGUUCCCAGUACCCUGAAAGAUGUUCAACAGAAACACAAAAAGAUGCUCCAGGAACAAACUGAAACACUGAGAGUGAACACUAUCCUAACCAAGGAGAAGGUUAAGAUUUUCCAGCUGAUUGAUCGAUACGCUGAGCUAACGAUCAUUUCUAAUGUUCGAGAUCGGACACUUGUAGAACAUGAGCUGCUGGCAAGAGGCCGAGAUCAUGAAGAGUGGAGAGAGAAGCAUCUCCAGAGAGAACUGGAAAAAAUCCGAACUGAUCAAUUGUUCCAGAGCAGUUUUUCCUGGAUAGGCUUUUUGUUCCAGAAAGCUAAGAGUCUCUUUUGGCAAUCAAAUUCUGGGAGUUCAGCAGCAGUGAGCGGAGUCCCGGGGAUUGGAAAAACAACAAUGGUACAAAAGAUUGUUUAUGAUUGGGCCACUGGGAAAAUAUACCCAGACUUUCAAUUUGUUUUCAGUUUUAAAUUCCGGGAACUGAAUUCUAUUAAUUCUAGAAUAAACCUGAGCAUUUUGAUACUGGAUCAGUAUCCUUACUUUGGAAAUGUUCUGGGAGAGCUCUGGAAGAACCCAAAGGGAUUGCUGUUUAUAUUCGAUGGUUUGGAUGAAUUCAAGGACAGGAUUGAUUUUGCUGACAAUCGGAGAAAUACAGAACCUCAGUUCAUGUGCACAGGUCCUGAAUGCUGGUGUGAAGUGUCUGACAUUGUGUACAGUUUAAUACAGCACAAGCUGCUCCCAGGAUGUUCAGUGCUAGUGACCAGCCGCCCGACUGCAUUACAUUUAUUGGAAAAGGCUGAGAUCAGUGUCUGGGCUGAAAUCCUGGGAUUUGUUGGUGAAGAGCGGAAGGAAUAUUUCAACAAGUAUUUUGAAGAUCAGACGGUGGCAGCAGCUGUCUUCAAACACGUGGAGGAGAACGAGAUCCUGUACACCAUGUGCUACAACCCUUCCUACUGCUGGAUCCUCGGCCUGUCACUGGGUCCCUUCUUUACACAAAGAAACAGGAAACAGCAGCAGGUUCCCAAGACCGUCACCCAACUAUAUUCCUACUAUAUUUACAACAUUCUGAAAAACCAUGGCCGAGAGAUUGAAAACUCCCGUGAUGUGUUACUGAAGCUUGGUGAGAUGGCCUUCACAGGAGUCUCUGAGAAGAAGAUUGUUUUUGGAAAUGAAGAUUUGACCAUGUACAAUUUGCAACCUUCUCAGUUCCUGUCUGGGUUCAUGAUGGAACUUUUGGAGAGAGAGCUUUCCAUCCAUAAUGUGGUUUACACAUUUCUGCACCUCACCAUCCAAGAGUUUGUAGCUGCGCUCACACAAUUUCUGACUCCAGAACCUGGGGACAUCCAUAAGCUCCUCAGUGAAGCGGACAGUGAGGAAGACAGGCGAUUUGAAAUAUUUCUCCGUUUUGUUGCUGGUCUCUCCUCCCCACAGUCAGCUUGGCCCCUGAAGGAGUUUCUCGGUCCAUUUUCUCAACAAACGACUCACCGAGUGAUUGACUGGGUGAAGAGCAAGGUUGAAGGACAGAUUGGAAACAAAGCAAGUGAAGCUGGUAAAAGGAACCUCCUGAACACAUUCCACUACCUGUUUGAGUCUCAGAAUAAAGCACUGGCUCAGGCCACAGUGGGAUCUGUGGAAAUACUUACAUUUAGUAACUUGGCACUGACCCCAAUUGAUUGUGUGGUCCUGUCUCAUGUCAUUGGACUCAGUGAUACAAUAAAACACCUUGAUCUGCAGAACUGUUACAUUCAGUAUGAAGGACUCCAGCGGCUGGAACUCGUACUGCAUAAAUGUCGUGUGUUGAGAUUGAGAAGUAAUAAUCUGGGAGAUUCAGAAAUGAAACUGCUGUUGGCAGCUCUGAAAAAUCCAGACUCUAAACUAGAGGAACUGGGGCUGGAGGAAAACAGUUUCACGGAUUCUUCUGCUGAUGAUCUUGCCUUUGGUCUCAGUAAAAACCGGUUGCUGACUCAUCUGAACCUGAGUAAUAAUAAACUGGGAGAUUCAGGAUUGAAACUACUGUCUGUGGUUCUGAGGAACCCAGACUGUAAAAUACAGAAACUGGGGCUGGCUGAUGUUAUUCUCACAGCUUCUUCUGCUGAGGCUCUUGGUUCCAUUCUCAACACAAACCAGUCACUGAUUGAGCUGAAUCUGAGUAGUAACAAACUGGGAGAUUCAGGGGUGAAACAAUUGUCUGCAGCUCUGAGGAAUCCAGACUGUAAAAUACAGAAACUGGUGCUGAUGGACGUGAGUCUCACAUCCUCUUGUGCUGAGGAUCUGGCUUCUACUCUCAGUGCAAACCCAGUACUGACUGCUCUAAACCUGAGUUAUAAUAAACUGGGAGAUUCAGGAGUGAAACUACUGUCUGAAGCUCUGAGAAAUCCGGUCUGUAAAAUACGAAGACUCUGGUUGUGUGAUAAUGGCCUCUCAGCUUCUAGUAUCAAGGAUAUCGCCUUCGCUCUCAGUACAAACCGAUCACUAACAGAAUUAGACCUGGGUCACAACAAAUUGCGCGACUCAGGAGUGAAGUUCCUGUCUGAAGCUCUGAAGAGCCAGGACUGCAAAAUACAGAAACUGCGAUGCUGUCAGACUUGCUCAGUUUUUUCCAGCUGGAUGAUACCCGUCUCACAGAUUCUUGUUCCGAUGAUCUCGCCUCCGCUCUCAGUACAAACAGAUCACUGAUAUGGCUGAACCUGGAGUUAAACUCCUUCACAGACCAAUCUAUCCCUGCGUUCUGCUGCCUCAUAAAAAACAAUAGCAGUCUGGAACGGAUCGAACUGUGGAAGAAUGGAUUCAGUUCAACUGGAGAAAACCGACUGAAGUUGCUCCAGGGCAUAAGACAUGGACUGAGUGUGGAGUUGUCAUCACGUUAAUUUAUAAGCAUUCCUGCCCUGAUUAUAGGAACAUUUUUGGCCAAUGUUUCUGUCAUUCCCCUUUAAGCAGCCGUACUCCAGGUUUAAAUCCGAUUGGCUGUUUCCUAGUUUCUAGCUCGAUCUGUGAGCGCCAUUUUCAAUUGUGAUGUCAGAGGCCCAGUAACAGGGUCACGAUAAUCAGUCGUCUGGCCCCAUAUUGUUGCUUCUGCCGCAAAUCCAGGGCUGAAUGUUCCCCACUGAUAUUGGGGAAAUAUACAAACAUGAAGGACCCAGGGAUGGGGAUCAGUCUGGGCUGAAGUGGGACACUGACAAUUGCAGUCAUUAUUCCUACGUUUGCCCAGGGUUCCUGCUCAGUAUCAGUGCCCAGUGACUCUUUUGUGAAUUGAAUCUUUUUACAGACAGGAUGGAGAUGUUCAGCUUGGUUGGGUCUCACUGUCCAAUAGGGACCAAUACCCAUUUCUGUGACCUACGCAGAGUAUCUUACUCGGGAGGCUCCGGAGACUGGCGUACCCAGGUUUGGCCAGCACAUUGAGAGCAAACAUGCAGAAAGUGCCAAGUGAGAAUCCCACUAUUCCUUGUGGGAAUUGUGUGCAUUUGCAGUGUUGAAGGACCCCAAACUGUUUCUUGCACCAACAGGAGGAUAGUUACUUGUGCUCGGAUGGAAAUUAAACCCUUUACAUUCUUCGCUUUUUAAACAGAAUCAUCUCAGAAUCAAUCUCCAAACAUGAGAUUAUGAAAAUACCAAAUCAGCUCCAACAAACAUCCUGAGGAAUGGACUCAUUGUUAGUCGUAGUCACAUUGUACAAAGCAAUGGUUUACACUUGGAAAUGUUGCUGAAUUUGUUAACCUUCACUUCUGUAUCCUUGCCUCUUGAAUUUUUUGAUUGGUACUGAUAAUUAUUAUUUUGUGUGAUAUUGAAUUAAAUGCUGCUUUGUCGUAA